RNAcentral lists this long non-coding RNA (925 nucleotides) under Cyanistes caeruleus (blue tit). RNAcentral describes it as "lncRNA (ENSCCEG00000022254.1)". The record is from RNAcentral. Lineage: Eukaryota; Metazoa; Chordata; Aves; Passeriformes; Paridae.
UUUGGAGCAGAGAGUGGAACACAGCAGCAUGUUGUGGGAUCCUGGUUCUCAGCCUUCUCAAAGGGAAGCAGAAGGAAGUUUAAUGAGUUAAAACUGUACUUUUGCUCCAAGACUCCCAUUCAUUGAGUUGGUAUGAAACCCAAGUACCCCUUUGUGCUACAACUGUACCUUCAAUGACUGACAAGAUUAAGCUCUCCCUUUCUGUUGCCCUUUUGGCCUGCAACUACUGACAACAGCAUGAAAAAUUGGCUGAAGUGCUUGAUGAAGCAGUCAGGCUGGGACUGUGUAUCCAUCUGUUACAUGAGGCUCUUUGCCUAAAGUAUCUAUCACCUCUGUCCAGCUUCUGGAAACUUCUGGGAUGGGAGAGCAAACCAGUCAAGAUCAUGAUGUAUUAAAUGAAGCAUGUAUAAAACCUGGAUGCAGAGACCUCCAUUCAUGUCCAAUACCUUUCCUGGGAACGGCAGCAGGGGCACUUUAAUAGAAGGAGCUGCAAUCAGGUUUCAGGAUUCAGCAGUUGACUUCUUGCCCAUUUGUCUUUUGCAACAUCCAAGUUUCUCGUGGUCAGCUGAGCCCCAUGGACAACAACUCUGCCGGCAUGUACCUGGCAAUUGUGGGGAGUCACAGAGGCUCUGUGGUGAGAUAGCUUGCUUACUGCAUGUGCCAGGAGAAGCAGCCACAAUUCCUGACAUCUUGCAUUGGGAGCAGUAAGAGGCCAGCUCGCCAGAGCUGGAAUGGGAGGAAGCACAUUGCCACAGUGUGGCUUUUUCCCUGCUGGGAAGGAAAUUUCAACCAUUUUUUAUGGUGAGUUGAUUUUUGCACUUCACAAAACGUAACCAUCUUAUCAAGACUAGUAACCUGCAGUUAAUGCACCUACUUGUGUGUUCAAGAGAAUAAAUCCACUCAAAUCAGAAUUUUGACUGUAAAC